AUUAAGGUAUAUACAUAAAUAUUUAAACUUAAUCGCUUUCGUUAAUAUAUUUUUUUUCUGUGCUAUACAUCGUUUCAUAUUUUUUAAAUAAUUUUCGGACAAAAGAAAAACGUGUUCUUUUAUAAACAUCAGAACACAACACACGUAAAAUUGUAGUUAAUACAAAAUAUGGGUAAUUAUUAUUUAGCACAAUAUACUUGUAGUUAUUUAAUUAGGUUAUAACAGUUUAUUAGGUUUGUUCAUAUAUAUAUAUAUAUAUAUAAAUUUUCUCUCCAAUAAAGGAAAACAAAAAUAUAAAAUAGUAAAAAAAAAAAAAAAAAAAAAAAAGCUAAUUACGUGUAUAGUGCUAACACUAAAAGACAUACUUCAUACAAUAAAAUGUGCGAUUUAAUUGUAACUCUUUUUGUAUGAAAAAUUAUGAAACAUUUAACAUAGAUAAUACCGCUAUAUAUCAUGUAAAAAGAAUAUAUUUAUAUACAUAUAUAUAUAUAUUUUUUUUUUUUUUUUUUUUUUUUUUUUUUUUUUUUGCUUUCUUUUCUAAUUUACAUACUAAGUCAACAACAGAAACAUUUGCAACUGGUACUCUAAAAGCAACACCUGUUAUUUUUCCAAGUAACUCUGGUAUUACUU
This 630-nucleotide long non-coding RNA is filed under the name Piliocolobus tephrosceles (Ugandan red Colobus). RNAcentral's name for it is "lncRNA (ENSPTEG00000020746.1)". Lineage: Eukaryota; Metazoa; Chordata; Mammalia; Primates; Cercopithecidae. The record is from RNAcentral.